ACGCAGUGUAGUGUAAUGGCAUCUGAUGACAUCACACCUAGCUCUGCAAUAAAUUUCUUAAACUAGAAUGCUUCCUUAGCAGCUUCAGAGGUGGCAAUAUACUCGGCUUCUAUGGUCGAAUCUGCAAUGACCGAUUGUUUAAAACUUUUUCAGCUAAUCGAUCCUCUAUUACACAAAAAAAUAUAUCUCAACGUAGACCUUUUAUCAUCGAUAUCAGAUAUGAAGUCUGAAUCGAUGUAUCCUUCCACUUUUAGCUCUGAACCUCCUGCAA
This 271-nucleotide long non-coding RNA is filed under the name Elaeis guineensis (African oil palm). RNAcentral's name for it is "long non-coding RNA (EGUI_LNC043290)". The record is from RNAcentral. Lineage: Eukaryota; Viridiplantae; Streptophyta; Magnoliopsida; Arecales; Arecaceae.